GAGAGGAAAGGUAGAAUUCCCAGGGUGUAGCGGUGAAAUGCGUAGAGAUCUGGAGGAAUACCGAGUGGCGAAGGCAGCCUUCUGGCAUCACACUGACACUGAGGCUGCGAAAGCGUGGGUAGCAAACAGGAUUAGAUACCCUGGUAGUCACGCCGUAAACGAUGUCUACUAGUCGUUGGGUCCCUUGAGGACUUAGUGGCGCAGCUAACGCAAUAAGUAGACCGCCUGGGGAGUACGGCCGCAAGGUUAAAACUCAAAUGAAUUGACGGGGGCCCGCACAAGCGGUGGAGCAUGUGGUUUAAUUCGAUGCAACGCGAAGAACCUUACCUGGUCUUGACAUAUCAGAGAAUCCUCCAGAGAUGCGAUUGGUGCCUUCGGGAAUUAGAAGACAGGUGCUGCAUGGCUGUCGUCAGCUCGUGUCGUGAAAUGUUGGGUUAAGUCCCGCAACGAGCGCAACCCUUGUCCUUAUUUGCCAGCGAGUUAUGUCGGGAACUCUAAGGAUACUGCCGGUGACAAACCGGAGGAAGGCGGGGACGACGUCAAGUCAUCAUGGCCCUUACGGGCAGGGCUACACACGUGCUACAAUGGCAGGUACAGAGGGCAGCAACACAGCGAUGUGGAGCGAAUCCCAAAAAGCUUAUCGUAGUCCGGAUUGGAGUCUGCAACUCGACUCCAUGAAGUCGGAAUCGCUAGUAAUCGCGGAUCAGAAUGCCGCGGUGAAUACGUUCCCGGGCCUUGUACACACCGCCCGUCACACCAUGGGAGUGUGAUUGCACCAGAAGUGGUUAGCCUAACCGUAAGGAAGGCG
RNAcentral lists this ribosomal RNA (808 nucleotides) under Psychrobacter alimentarius. RNAcentral's name for it is "bacterial SSU rRNA". It matches the Rfam family "Bacterial small subunit ribosomal RNA", at positions 652 to 1452 of the family's 1533-position model. Lineage: Bacteria; Pseudomonadati; Pseudomonadota; Gammaproteobacteria; Moraxellales; Moraxellaceae. The record is from RNAcentral.